GUGGUUUAAUUCGAAGCAACGCGAAGAACCUUUACCAGGUCUUUGACAUCCCGAUGCUAUUUCUAGAGAUAGAAAGUUACUUCGGUACAUCGGUGACAGGUGGUGCAUGGUUGUCGUCAGCUCGUGUCGUGAGAUGUUGGGUUAAGUCCCGCAACGAGCGCAACCCCUAUUGUUAGUUGCCAUCAUUCAGUUGGGCACUCUAGCGAGACUGCCGGUAAUAAACCGGAGGAAGUGGGGAUGACGUCAAAUCAUCAUGCCCCUUAUGACCUGGGCUACACACGUGCUACAAUGGUUGGUACAACGAGUUGCGAGUCGGUGACGGCGAGCUAAUCUCUUAAAGCCAAUCUCAGUUCGGAUUGUAGGCUGCAACUCGCCUACAUGAAGUCGGAAUCGCUAGUAAUCGCGGAUCAGCACGCCGCGGUGAAUACGUUCCCGGGCCUU
Molecule: ribosomal RNA, 441 nt
Filed under: uncultured Streptococcus sp.
Lineage: Bacteria; Bacillati; Bacillota; Bacilli; Lactobacillales; Streptococcaceae
Description: bacterial SSU rRNA
Rfam family: Bacterial small subunit ribosomal RNA
Source: RNAcentral